This is a long non-coding RNA of Anopheles gambiae (African malaria mosquito), 2888 nucleotides long. RefSeq lists it as uncharacterized. The record is from RefSeq and is a predicted model, not a curated record. Lineage: Eukaryota; Metazoa; Arthropoda; Insecta; Diptera; Culicidae. The transcript is spliced from 3 exons.
UGGUAUUAUUGAAUCCGUUCGUAGCGGCGGCGUACGUCCCGACACUUAUUUUCCUAACGUACUAGAUGGUUGCUACAGUUAUUCACCGUGGCGUUGUAGGAGCGGGCUCAAGAAAUGCGUUGCCAUCUCUAGAAUUUCAUGUGAGCGCCGUACGUUCCCGCUACGAACGGAUUCAAUAAUACCAGCCAAUGACGUCGGAACAAUAUCAAAAAGAGUGUCUCCAAAAACGAAUUUUGCCAUUCAUUCGAUCCCACGACCAUCCCGUAAUGUUUUGGCCCGAUUUGGCAAGUUGUCAUUACAGUAUAGUCGUUCGAGAAUGGUAUGCAGAGAAAGGGGUCUUGUUUGUUCCGAAAAACCUUAACCCACCCAACUGCCCCCAGUUCCGCCCUAUUGAGAAAUACUGGGCAAUCAUGAAGAGGAGACUCAAGGCAAAGGGAAAGGUUGUCAAAGACAUCAAUCAGAUCAAUGUUAUUAGACUCUACACAGGUUACGAAAAAAGCCCGUUUUGGCCGAUUUCCAAUAAAAAAAUGAAUGAAAAUUUUGACAGACAAAUUGGAAUGGUUUGUUUACAACUGGACUGGUUUGUUUACAAUUUGUCUGGAUUGCAAUCGUGCAAUGGUAUGGUGUUUGGUGUUGAAUCUUGCAAAUUAUAAUUUAUUUAAUUAUUUUGUAACUUUAUAAUUAUUAAUAUUGCGAUGAAUUAACAGCUGUGACAAGAGAGAAAUCGAGUAAGUGAGAAUCUAGUAAAAUAUGCUUUUGUUGUGGUGAAAAGAUCCAACAUGUAGGAGUUUAACAUUGUGUCAGGUAAAACGAUUAUAUCAAGCAAGCAGAAGAUUGCUGUGAAAUCAUUCGCUUCUCAGCAUUAUCAGCAUUACGGACAAGGAGAUAAAUAAGCGAGUGAAGUACCCAGCUAGAAAGCAUAUGUUGGAGGGAAAUGUAUGCAGUUGCUGGAACUUGUGCGAUUUCUCAAGAGGAUGUGCAGUGCAGACACAGUUUAAUCUUACGAGUUUCCUUUCCGUCCAACAACAGUUCAGUAGCUAUGAAGAGGGAGGGGAGCAAAGUGCCGUUUCUUCCCAAAGCAAUCACUGUUCAUUAUAGGGAACGAAUUCUUUUACCGCCCGGAUGUAACUGCAGCAUCAGCAGAGGGAGAAGCUGCUCAUAUAUACCGUCAUAUAGAGAUAAACCGUUAGCUGGUCAACACAUGUAUUGGCGUAUCCCUGUGGAUCCAACAGUGCCGCGUGAUGGGUCCAGCACACACAUAACCAACUCCAUAGCCCAUAGCAUAGCCCGACUCCAGUGUGUGAUCUGGUUGCAUAAUCAGUUCUGACGCGCAGACUGGAUGCACGUGAUCAUACGUCAUCUACUAUCUCAGCUCAUUAAUGAACAAUGAAAGACAGUCAAUCUCAUAUCGAAGCAAACCACUAAUAAUCAAAACUUGAGAAGCAUAUCGACGAUCGUGGGGAUCAUUAAACCAAACAUACGACACCGAAUUUCAUACGGGAGAAGAGUAGCACCCGAUUGCCCCAAGAGCCGCCUAACGGUUAAACGCUUUCAACCCUGUCAGUUCAUACCAGACUAACUGGGUGCCAAACAAUGCUCGCGUAUUCUAAAGCAGGUUAGACUAAGCUACAGUAAAUGGUUUUGAGGCAAUAGGGUAACGCAAAUCAUGCAUCAUCAAUGAUUCCGACCCACAAGUGGAGCGGGUGUGCUAGAUCGGAGUCGGAAACAAAUCCGACCCUACCUCGGGGACCUACUACCGUAAGGACUUCAAGUUCACUCGAAUGAUAAGUAGUUGUAAGAAAGCAUAAACGACUCCGAUCCACUGGUGCAGCGAGUUUGGGUCAGGUCAAAGUAGGUUUAAUACCCGACCCGUACUCGCUGCACCAAUGGGCCGGAAUCGCUUAUGCUUUAGGAUUCGUAUCUACCGAAAUCGUGGCACAUACUACAUCUAUUUGUACGUUUCGGGUUGACCCGCACGGCUACGGGAUGCUUCGGAUUGCUCCGACCCGGUGAGUUCCAGUUGCCCCGACUUUCACUAGUGUGUGUAUGGAAGAACGUGCGUGAGUUGUCGAAUCGCUGACCAAGGAGUAGGAGAAGGUAAAAGUGAGUUAAUGUUUAACAAGCCCGUUGUAACAAAAAUAAUUAGGAAAAAAACUUCAAAUAUAUUUGUGUUUUUUGGUAGCAUUUAUCAAAUACGAUUUUCCUCUAUAACAUUGACAAUAUGUUAUUUUCAUAACUUUCGUCACAACAAUUUACGCAAUCACAAAAUAUUAUAUAAAUAAACACUAUGUACAAAACAUUUUGAUACUCAUACUGUACGGGCCGUACACCAGCAGCACCGUGCACCCCUACCGAGAGCACCUACUUGAUCAACCUUUUUACACACUCUCUUUUCUGCCGUGCAAUGCACUCGCCUCACACAAAUGUGGGAAUUUGUAAGCUAUGAUCCCCCUACCUAUGUAUGUCACCUAUGUACCCACCACAAAUGCUUCAAACAUCAUAUUCGCUCUGUAUUGUACUUGACUCGAGCACAAAUGAAAUGGACCCCCGCCGUUGUUUAACACUGCCGGGACGACAAUUAUCUCUCGUCUUUUCGCUCUAGCACUUAAAUUAAGCUGCACCCGAGUUGGCAUGAAUUCUCUACCACUGGAACAAGACAACAGCACGAACAUUCUUUUGCUAUGAUACGGAACUGAAACGGGAGCAGCAUAGACGAUCACCCUGAACUCGAUGAUUGUGGCGAAUCGGCAUGGAGCCUCGCCGCUUCCCACACAUCGCAGUAGGGUCGCGUUCAGGACUGCAUAAUUUCUAACCCUUUUUAUCAAUGCUGCUGCUAGAUGGCAUAAAUCCUCGUCCCCAGAAGCUGUAACUGCAAUUUCAAACCUGGA